Molecule: non-coding RNA, 230 nt
Filed under: Rhodospirillum centenum
Lineage: Bacteria; Pseudomonadati; Pseudomonadota; Alphaproteobacteria; Rhodospirillales; Rhodospirillaceae
Also listed under: 1 other name
Source: RNAcentral
CAGUGCCGCACAUGUGUCGGUCCCCCCGAAGGGGUGAAAAGGGAACGACGGUGCGGCCUGCGCCUGGGUGACCGGGUGGGGCCAACGCCGUGGCUGCCCCCGCAACUGUGAUCGGCGAGUUCGCCGCCCCCCGUCCGCACGGACGGGAACAGGCCACUGGGAAACUGGGAAGGCCGGGCGUCGGAUGCGGACCCGAGAGCCAGGAGACCUGCCGGCAUGAAGCGUCACGC